AAUAGGUCUUUUCUUAAUUCAUUUACUAAUAAGAUAUUAUCACCAAUCUUUCGUUUAAACAUUUCAAAACAAGCGGAAACAAUAUGCGAAACAUCAACCACAGCCCGAUCCCGAUGUCGCUAGUCAUGAGCCACUAAAAUACAAUCUGGUAUGUCUACUCAAUACAAGAGGAGUCUGAUAAAAACAAAUACUAAAAGAUAGGAACGAGAAAGGCAAGGCUGCAGAAGCCGUGUAGCUGCCUUCCUAACUCCGGAAAUGCUCUGAAGGAAAGAACAGCUCUCACUCGGACCCUGGCACCUAGAUUUGCACACAAGGUGCAGGGAGUAACGUGAGUACGCCAACUCAGUAAGUAACAAUUAUAAAUAAAAGCUGAGUACAAUGAUGAGCAUUUAAAAUCAUAUACAUCUCGUAACUUAAAAAUCUCAGUGGAAAAAGAACAAAGUAAAAUCAGUAACUCAAUUCCGAACAUCUCGUAAAGAUUCCAGUUUCAAUAAAAGUUGUUUAAAACAUUUGUUCAAUAUUUUCAAUAGAGGCUAUAAAAGAAAAGUGAAACAGUAAUUUCAUAAAACAAGCCCCUCGGGCAAAGUAUCACUCAUAUAUAUAGCCCCUCGGCAAGCCUCUCAGUCACUCGUGACUCAAUUAUCAUCAAUCAGCACUCCUGCUCAAUAGUUAUCUCAUAAUAACCGCCACCGCGUGCAACCCGAUCCAUAAAUAUAUAGUUGACUGUGCUCACUUGGGGUGUGCAGACUUUAGAGGGGCUCCUACAACCCAAGCGCUAUAUCGCUGCGGCGUGCAGCCCGAUCCAAUAUAUCAUUGCGGCGUGUAGCCCGAUCCACACACACACACAGAUAUAUAUAUAUCGCUGCGGCGUGCAGCCCGAUCCAUAAUUAUAUAUCCUCACUAUCAGGCCCUCGGCCUCUCUUAAUCAUCAACCUCACAGCCACUCGGGCAUUUCAAUUAAAAAUCAUGGAACUCAGCCCAAACAGUUUUCAUAUAUUUGAAGGUAGAGUAAUGAAACUGAAUCAAACAAUAAACAAGCAAAAAUCAUGACUGAGGAUAUGCUUUCGAAUCAAAACAAUGUGAGGAUAGUAGUAAAAUACCCCUGAGGGUCCAAACAGUACGGCACAAGGCCCCAAACAUGGCAUUCAGCCCAAGCUAACGGAAUUAUUUCUAAACACAUAGAUUUCAUAUAGUGUUUAUCAAAAUUAUGCAACUCUACACUUGCCACGGGAUGGACCAAUUCACAAUCCCUACCGGUGUACGCCCAUACACCCAUCACCUAGCAUGUGUGUCACCUCAUUUAUAAAAAUUAGUACGAAAUUUGGGGGUUUCAUACCCUCAGAUCUAGAUUUAAAAUCGUUACUUACCUCGAACCGGAUGAAGAUCUACUCCGCAAUGCUCUUGCCUCUUGACUCGGCCUCCAAUCGCCCUGAAUAUAUCCAAACUCAGAAUCAUAUCAUCAAUACAUGCCAAAGGAACAAAACCCAUAUGAAAAUUAUCAAAUUAGACCCAAAAUCCCGAAUUUGCUCUAAAUCAACCCCCGGGUCCAUGUCUCGGAAUCCAACAAAAAUUACAAAACUAGAAACUUCUUUCACUCCCGAGUCUAUACAUACCAAAAUCAUCAAAAUCGUACCUCAAAUGGCCCCUCAAAUCUCCAAUUUAAACUCUCCAAUUUCAAACCUUAAUCUCCCAAUUUUUUCUCUAAUUUUCCCAUUAAUAUCAUGAUUCAACAAUGGAAUAAUUGCCAUAAACACAAGAUACAAGGUCCAAGUAGUUUACCUCACUAAAAACACUUAAUUCCCUCUUGAAAUCACAGCCCCCAAGCUCCAACUCGUCCAAAAAUGGUGAAGAAAUGGCUGAAAUUCGCGGAGAGGGCUUUUUAUAUGUUCUGCCCAGCUAUUUCCGCAUCUGCGAACAAUAUCUCGCACAUGCAGGCCGCUUUUGCGCCCAAAAAUCCGCACCUGCGGAAGUCACUUAAGUCCUCAGAUGCUACACCUACGCCCCAAGUCUCUCACCUGCGGGCUCGCAGAUGCGGUCCAGCCCUCCGCUCCUGCGACCAAUGCCUCUUCUGCGGUCUCCUUUCUGCUUCUACGGCUCGCACCUACGGUCCCAAUCCACAGGUAUGGUUAUGACAGAAAACAAUAGCUUCAGCUACAACUCCAAUUUUCCAACUCUCUAAUAACCCGUCGAAAUCAUCCCAAGGCCCUCGAGACCUCAACCAAACCUACCAACAAGUCAUAUACCAUUAUUCAAACUUAUUCAAACCUUCGGAACACUCAAAACAACAUCAAAAUACCAAAUCACCCUAUGAUUCAAGCCUAAAGAUUUCUAAACUUUCGAAUUCUACAAACAAUACAAAAACCUAUCAAACCUCAUUCGAAUGACCUGAAAUUUUGCACACACGUCACAAAUGACAUAACGGACCUACUCCAAUUUCUAGAAUUCCAUUCUGACCCCGAUAUCAAGAUUUCCUCUAUCGGUCGGAAAAUGCCAAAUUUCCAAUUUUGUAAAUUCAAGCCUAAAUCUAUCACGGACAUCCAAAAUACAUUCCGAUCACACUCCUAAGUCCAAAAUCACCUAACGAAGCUAUCUGAAUUAUCAGAAUUUACCUCUGAGACUUUCUACUCAUAAGUCAAAAUCCAGUCGACUUUUCCAACUUAAGCUUCUAAAUAAGAGACUAAGUGUCUCAUUUCACUCCAUGACCACUCCACACACAGAACAACCAACACGAUAUGAUGAAAUACAGCUGAACAACACAUAAAGAAGAAGAAAUGGGGAUAACAGGACUGUAACUCAUGAAACGACCGGCUGGAUCGUUACAUCCUCCCCCUCUUAAACAAAUGUUCAUCCUCGAACGGGUCAAGAAACAUACCUGGAACCUCAAAUAGGUGAGGAUAUAUGUUCCACAUCUCCCGCUCGGUCUCCCAGGUGGCCUCCUCCACGGGCCGACCUCUCCACUGCACUUUCACUGAAGCUAUAUCCUUUGAUCUCAACUUUCAGACCUCCUACUCCAAAAUAGCCACUGGCUCCACAUCAUAAGUCAAAUCAUCGUCUAACUUAAUCGUGCUAAAAUCCAAAACAUGAGACGGAUCGUCAAUAUACUUCCGGAUCAUAGAAACAUGAAAUAUCGGAUGCACACUCAACACGCUAGGUGGUAAAGCAGGCUCAUAAGCCACCUCCCUAAUCCUCCGAAGUACCUCAAAAGGCCCAAUGAACUAAGGACUCAAUUUACCCUUCUUCCCAGACCUCAUAACACCUUUCAUGGAUGAAACCUUCAGUAGAACCUUCUCCCCAACCAUGUACAACACAUCACGAACCUUCCUAUCAACAUAACUCUUUUGUCUUGACUGCGAUGUACGAAGCCGCUCCUAAAUCACUUUCACCUUGUCCAAAGCAUCCUGCACUAAGUUUGUCCCCAAAAGCCUGGCCUAGCCCGGCUUAAACCAUCCUAUUGGAGAUCUAUACCGUCUCACAUAUAAAGCCUCAUAUUGAGCCAUCUAAAUACUCGACUGAUAACUGUUGUUAUAUGCAAACUUCGCGAGCUGUAGAAACUGAUCCCAUGAACCCCCAAAAUCAAUGACACAAGCGCACAACAUGUCCUCCAAUAUAUGAAUAGUGCGCUCGGACUACCCGUUCGUCUGAGGGUGAAAAGUUGUGCUCAUCUCAACCUAAGUACCCAACUCUCGUUGCAUGGCCCUCCAAAACUGCGGCGUAAACUGAGUACCUCUAUCCAAAAUGAUGGAAACUGGGACACCAUAUAGGCGAACAAUCACUCAGAUAUAAAUCCCUGCUAAUCGCUCUAAAAAAUAGAUAGUACACACAGGAAUGAAGGGCGCGGACUUGGUCAGUCGAUCCACAACCACUCAAAUAGCAUCGAACUUCCUCAAAGUCUGUGGGAGUCCAACUACGAAAUCCAUGGUGAUCCGCUCCCACUUCCACUCUGGAAUAUCCAUCUGCUGAAGUAAGCCACCCGAUUUCUGAUGCUCAUAUUUCACCUGCUGACAAUUGAGACACCGAGCUACAAAUCCCACUAUAUCUUUCUUCAUUCUCCUUCACCAGUAGUGUUGUCUCAAAUCUUGAUACAUCUUUGCGGCACCCGAAUGGAUGGAAUAUCGUGAGCUAUGAGCCUCCUCCAGAAUCAACUCCCAAAGCCCAUCCACAUUGGGCACACAUAUCCGACCCUGCAUCCUCAAUACCCCAUCAUCACCAAUAGUCACAUAUCUGGCAUCGUCGUGUUGUACUCUGUCCUUGAGGACAAGCAAAUGAGGAUCAUCAGUUACUGGCGCUCUCUGAUGCGAUCAAACAAGGAAGACCGAGAAACCACACAAGCUAGGAUCCGACUGGGCUCCGAAAUAUCCAACCUCACAAACCAAUUGGCCAAGGCCUGAACAUCAACUGCAAGAGGUCUCUCCCUGACAGGAACAUACGCCAAACAGCCCAUACUCACCGCCUUCCUACUCAAGGCAUCGACCACUACAUUAGCCUUCCCCGAAUGGUAAAAGAUAGUGAUAUCAUAAUCCUUUAGCAGCUCCAACCAUCUCCGCUGCCUCAAAUUGAGAUCCUUCUGCUUGAACAAGUGCUGGAGGCUACGAUAAUCAGUAAACACCUCACAAAACACACCAUAGACAUAAUGCCUCCAAAUCUUCAACGCAUGAACAAUGGCAUCCAACUCCAAAUCAUAAACAUGGUAGUUCUUCUCAUGGGGCUUUAACUGAUGAGAAACAUAAGCAAUCACUCUACCAUCAUACAUCAACACACACCCAAUACCAACUCUAGAUGCAUCACAAUAUACUGUGUAUGAACCUGAAGCUUAUGGCAAAACUAACACUGGAGAUGUGGUCAAAACAGUCUUGAGCUUCUGGAAGCUUGCCUCACACUCAUCCGACCAUCUGAAUAGACCACCCUUUUGAGUCAAUUUGGUCAAGGGUGAUGCAAUAGAUGAAAAUCCCUGAAUGAACCGACGGUAAUAACCCGCCAAACCAUGAAAGCUGCGAAUCUCAGUGGCUGAGGACGAUCUGGGCCAACCCGGAACCACCUUUAUCUUCUUCGGAUCAACCUGAAUACCCUCACUGGACACCACGUGCCCCAAGAAAGCCACUGAACUGAGCCAAAACUCACACUUGGAGAACUUUGCAUAAAGCUUCUCCUCCCUCAACCGCUGCAAUACAAUAAAUGCCCAGCGUGCUCCUUCUAACUACGCGAGUAUACUAGAAUAUCAUCAACAAAUAUAAUAACAAACGAGUCGAGAUAAGGCCGAAACACAUUGUUCAUCGAAUGCAUCAACGCUGUUGGGGUAUUGGUCAGCCCAAAAGACAUCACAAAGAACUCAUAAUGACUGUAUCGGGUCCUGAAAACCGUCUUAAGAAUAUCUGAGUCCCUGAUCUUCAACUGGUGAUACCCUAACCGAAGAUCAAUCUUGGAGAACACCCUCGCUCCCUAAAAUUGGUCAAAUAAAUCAUCAAUACGAGGAAAAGGAUACUUGUUCUUGAUUGUAACUUUGUUCAACUGCCUGUAAUCAACGCACAUCCUCAUCGUGCCAUCUUUUUUCUUCACAAAUAGAACAGGCGCACCCUAAGGCGACACACUAGGCCGAAUAAAUCCCUUAUCAAGGAGUUCCUGAAGCUGCUCCUUCAACUCCGUCGGUGCCAUACGAUACGGUGGAAUAGAAAUGGGCUGAGUGCCCGACACCAAUCAAUACCGAAGUUAAUAUCCCUGUCUGGUGGCAUGCCCGGUAGGUUUGCAGGAAACAUAUCUGGAAAGUCCCUCACCACCGGGACUAAAUCAAUAGUAAGAGUCUCUAUACUAACAUCCCUCACGAAGGCCAAACAAGAAAGGCAACCCUUCCCAACCAUCUUUUGGGCCUUCAAAAACGAAAUCACUCUACUGGGAACAAAAUCAGUCGAACCUCGCCACUCAAUCUUUGGCACACCCAGCCUAACAUCACUGUCUUAGCAUGAUAGUCCAAAAUAGCAUGACAUAGAGAUAGCCAAUCCAUGCCUAAUAUCACAUCAAAAUCCCUAAUGGAGGUCCACUCGGGACUCCAAACCCCUAAUGGUCACCAGACACGACCGAUAUAUGCGGUCCACAAUAAUAGUAUCACCUACCGGAGUAGAUACAUGAACAGAUGAAACAAGAGACACACGGGCAUAUCCAAAUAACGAGCAAAAUACGAUGACACAUAUGAAAAAAUGGAAGUAGGAUCAAAUAACACAGAGGCAUCUCUGUGGCAAACUGAGACAAUACAUAUAAUCACGGCAUCUGAAGGAAUAACAUCUGGUCUGGCUGGGAGUGCAUAGAAAUGGGCCUAACCACCACCUGAUCGACCUCUUCCUCUAGGGCGACCGCUAACUGACUGACCCCCACCCCUAGCUGCCUGGGCGGGUGGUGAAGUAAUUGGAGCUGAAGUCGAGGGCUGACUCCUCUGUUUAGAUGGACCCCAUGAAGACGAGGACAUUGUCUCCUCAUAUGCCCAAACUCUCCACACUCAUAACAACUCCCUAGUACGGGGCACUGGGACUGAAGGGAACCCCUAGCACCGGGAUGACUAGUAGAAGAACCUGGCAUGGAAGAGCCCUUAACUAAUGGAGCACGGGACGAACUCUGGGCUAGAAGGGCACUAAGUGAUGAAUGGCCCUGAUGAGAACUGUGGGAAGCAUGGCCCCAUGAUGCCCCACAAUGAACUGGGCGAGCUGACUGAGCUUAUCUGAAUGGACAACCUCUAUCGUGCUAAAACUGGAUCCUCAAAUGAGCACCAUCAAAACUACCAAAUCUCCGAGACCUCUUGGCAUCCCUCUCAUCUCACUUCUGGCGACGAACUGACUCAAUCUCUCGGGCAAUAUCAACAACCUGCUCAAAAGUAGCACCUGACAUGCUCUCGCUGGUCAUGAGAAUCCGAAGCUGAUAUGUGAGGACAUCCAUAAACCUCCUGAUCCUCUCCCUAUCUGUAGGAACUAACCAAACAGCAUGAUGAGCUAGCUCUGAAAAUCUCAUCUCAUACUAUGUCACAGUCAUAUCAUCCUAACGCAACUGCUCGAACUGCCUGUGCAGCUCCUCCCUACAAGCCUGUGGCACUUGUUUCUCCAAAAAGAGAGCAAAGAACUGCUGCCAGGUAAGGGGAGUUACGCCAACAGGCCUACGCCUCUCAAAAGCCUCCCACCAAGUAAAGGCAGCUCCUGAAAACUAAAAAGUAGUGAACGAGACCCCACUAGUCUCCAAAAUACCUGCGGUCCGAAGCAUCCUCUAACACUUCUCCAAGAAACCCUGGGCAUCCUCGUCUUCCACACCACUAAAAGUCGGAGGAUGAAGUCUAGCAAACCUCUCCAAUCGACGCUGCUCGUCGUCAGGCAUAAUUGGUACCACAUAAUCUUGACCAAGCAUAACCGGCUGGGCUGGAGGUGCCCCUAGCGUCUGAAGUCCCGGCACAACCUGCUCAGGUGUGCGAGCGGCGGGAGUUUGGGUGCCUCCCCCGGCCUGAGAAGUAGCUAUGACCGUAGUAACUGAGACAGCCUGAGCCAGGCCAGUGCACACUGAUAGAAUCUGGGCUAGGACCUCUUGAAGGCCUGGAAUAACAAUCGGCACAACCGAUACCUGAGCUAGUCCUGCUGGAACGUCCACAACUGGAACCUGAUCGUGAACUGGGGCAGCUGGUGGAUCUGCAGGUGCUGCCCUAGCGGCUGUGCAGGCUACACCCCUAAUCCUACCACGACCUCGACUGCGACCUCAUCCUCUAGUGGCCCCAUCUGGUGGUACUGGUGGUCGUUCAUCCUAACCGGUAGCAUGUGUCCUCACCAUCUGUGAAAGAAUAGAAUAACAGAAGUUUAGUUACCAGAAUCAACAGAUUCGCACGAUAGGAAUUCAAGAAUGUGAAAUUUUUCCUAAAGGUUCUGCAGCCUCUCGAAGAUAAGUACAGAUGUCUCUGUACUAAUCCGCAAGACUCUACUAAACCUGCUCAUGACUGGUGAGACCUAUGUAACUUAUGCUCUGAUACCAACUUGUCACGACCCUAAACCACCCCGAUUGUGAUGGCGCCUAUCGCAGUACUAGGAUAGCCGAUUCGAUAUGUACAACAUAAACAGGUCUUUUCUUAAUUCAUUUACUAAUAAGAUAUUAUCAACAAUCUUUCGUUUAAACAUUUCAAAACAAGCGGAAUCAAAUAUGCGAAACAUCAACCACUGCCCGAUCCCGGUAUCACUAGUCAUGAGCCACUAAAAUACAAUCUGGUACUGUCUACUCAAUACAAGAUGUGUCUGAUAAAAACAAAUACUAAUAUAUAGGAGCGAGAAAGGCAAGGCUUUAGACGCUGUGCAACUACCUUGCUAACUCCGGAAAUGCUCUGAAGGAAGGAACAACUCUCACUCGGAUGCCCUGGUACCUGGUCUGCACACAAGAUGUAGGGAGUAACGUGAGUACGCCAACUCAGUAAGUAACAAUUAUAAAUAAAGGCUGAGUGUAGUGACGAGCAUUUAAAAUUAUAUACAUCUCAUAACAUAAAAAUCUUAGUGGAAAAAGUACAAAGUCAAAUCAGUAACUCAAUUUCGAACAUCUCGUAAAAACUCCAGUUUCAAUGAAAGUUGUUUAAAACAUUUGUUCAACAUUUUUAAUAGAGGCUCAGACUGAUAGAGUUUUGUUUAGGUUUUUUAGCGGUCUAUGCUAUGUUCACAUGGUUGGUUGCAUAGUUUUGUGUUAUUGUCCUUUCCCUUAUUCGUUGUUAUAAUUUUCUUUCUGGCAUCUUUUGUUGUUACAUGCCUUUUCUUUUAUUUCUUUCCUGAUAUUAUUGUCUCUCUUGUUGAGCCGAGAGUCUCCUGGAAACAGCCUCUCUACGCUUUUCGGGGUAGGGGUAAGGUCUGCGUACACUCUACUCUCUCCAGACCCUACUAGUAGGAUUUUACUGGGUAUGUUGUUGUUGUUGCUCAGUAUAAAAGAAGAGUGAAACGGUAAUUUCAUAAAUAAGUCCCUCGGGCAAAGUAUCACUCAUAUAUAUAGUCCUUUGGCAAGCCUCUCAGUCACUCGUGACUCAAUUCUAAUCAAUUAGCACUCACACUCAGCACUCCCGCUCAAUAGAUAUCUCAUAAUAACCGCCGCCGCGUGUAGCCGAUCCAUAAAUAUAUAAUCGACUGCGCUCAAUGGGGGGUGUGCAGACUCCGGAAGGGCUCUUACAGCAAAGCGCUAUAUCACUGCGGCAUGCAGCCGGAUCCAACAUAUCGCUGCAGCGUGCAGCCCGAUCCAUAAUUAUAUAAUCCUCACCAUCAAGCCCUCAGCCUCUCUCAGUCAUCAACCUCACAACCACUCGGGCAUUUAAGUGAAAAAUCAGGGAAUUCAACCCAAACAGUUUUCAUAUAUUUGAAGGAAGAGUAAUGAAACUGAAUCAAACAAUAAACAGGUAAAAAUCAUGACUGAGGAUAUUCUUUCGAAUUAAAACAGUGUGAGAAUAGUAGUAAAAUACCCCUGAGGGUCCAAACAGUACGGCACAAGGCCCCAAAUAUGGCAUUCAACCAAGUUAACAGAAUUAUUUCUAAACACAUAGAUUUCAUAUAGAGUUUAUCAAAAUAUGCAACUCUACAGUUGCCAUGGGACAGACCAAGUCACAAUUCUUACUAGUGUACGCCCACACGUCCGUCACCUAACAUGUGCAUCACCUCAUUCAUCAAACUUAGUACGAAAUUCCGAGUUUCAUACCCUCAGAUCUAGAUUUACAAUCGUUACUUACCUCGAACCGGACGAAGACCUACUCUGCAAUGCUCUUGCCUCUCGACUUGGCCUCCAAUCUCUCCGAAUCUAUCCAAAAUUAUAAUCAUAUCAUGAAUACAUACCAAAGGAACAAAACCCACAUGAAAAUUAUCAAAUUAAACCCAAAAUCCCGAAUUUGCUCAAACCCGGCCUCCGGGUCCACGUCUCGGAAUCCAACAAAAAUUGCAAAACUAGAAACUUCUUUCACUCCCGAGUCUAUACAUACCAAAAUCAUCAAAAUCGGACCUAAAAUGGCCCCUCAAAUACCCAAUUUAAACUCUCCAAUUUCAAGCCCUAAUCUCUCAAUUUCUUCUCUAAUUUUCCCAUUAAUAUCAUGAUUAAACAAUGGAAUAAUUGCCAUAAACACAAGAUAGAAGGUCCAAGUAGCUUACCUCACUGAAAACACUUAAUUCCCUCUUGAAAUCACAGCCCCCAAGCUCCAACUCAUCCAAAAAUGGUGAAGAAAUGGCUGAAAUUCGCGAAGAGGGCUUUUUAUACUUUCUGCCUAGCUAUUUCCACAUCUGCGGAAAAUAUCUCGCACUUGCGGGCCGCUUCUGCACCCAAAAAUCCGCACCUACGGAAGUCACUUAAGUCCUCAGACGCCGCACCUUUGCCCCAGGUCUCGCACCUGCGAGCUCGCAGAUGCGGUCCAGCCCUCCACUCCUGCGACCAAUGCUGCUUCUGCGGUAUCCUUUCCGCUUCUGCGGCUCGCACCCGCGGUCCCCAAUUUGUAGGUGCAGAUAUAAUAGGAAAAAGCAGCUUCAGCUACAACUCCAAUUUUCCAACUCUCCGAUAACCCUACCGAAAUCAUCCCGAGGCCCUCGAGACUUUAACUAAACCUACCAACAAGUCAUAUACCACUAUUCAAACUUAUUCAGACCUUCGGAACACUCAAAACAACAUCAAAACACUAACUCACCCUCGGAUUCAAGCCUAAGGAUUUCUAAACUUCCGAAUUCUGCAAACGAUACAAAAACCUAUCAAACCUCAUCCGAAUGACCGAUACAACGGACCUACUCUAAUUUUCGGAAUUUCACUCCGACCCCGAUAUCAAUUCCUCUACCGACCGGAAAAUGCUAAAUUUCCAAUUUCGCCAAUUCAAGCCUAAAUCUAUCACGGACUUCCAAAAUACAUUCUGAACACGCUCCUAAGUCCAAAAUCACCUAACGAAGCUAUCCAAACCAUCAGAAUUCAUAUCCGAGACCUUCUACUCAUAAGUCAACAUCUAGUUGCCUUUUCCAACUUAAGAUUCUAAAUAAGAGACUAAGUGUCUCAUUUCACUCUAUGACCACUCUGAACACAGAACAACCAACACGAUAUGAUGAAGUACAGCUGAAAACACAUAAAGAAGCAGAAAUAAGGAGAGCGGGACUGUAACUCAUGAAACGACCAGCUGAGUCGUUACAUGAGAAUUUUAGUAGAGAUAAUGAUAUUAAAUUGUGAAGCAUUUCAUCACAACUAGCAAAUUUCUUAAUCCAAAUGACUAAAAAUGCUUUCCAUUCACCUAAAAAUAACCAUGACAUUGAGAACUAGUUGUAAAUAACAAAAACCUCUUUACCUCACUUUAAUUCCAACAAAAUACUUAUUUAUGAGAAAAACUAUCCAUCCAGGCUUAAACCACAGCAAAAUUCCAAACACUGGCAUGAUUUCAAAGAUUCAAAAAAAAUACUAAAAGAUAUGACUAAAGGGACGUAUAAUGAGCCUCACUUCAUGAUCAUUUUACCCAUUUAUUAUGAAGAAAUAAUAUGAUAAAUAUUUCUAGUUUUAAAAAAAAUAAGAAACUAAAUAAAUAAAUAUAAAACCCUUUCAAAGAGCUUAGAGCAAUUUCCAAAGCACCUAACUAAAUCAUAGAUAAAACUGACGCAUAGAACUUUGAGUAAAUCAACUUCUAUCCAUUUUGUGAUUUCAAAAUAUGCAAAUCAAAAUUUUCACGCUAGUUCCAUGUUGUUAACAUCAUAUACUAUUAUUCUUACUUGAUAAACACUUAACAAUCACAUGCAAAUUUCAACAAAGACACAGAACCAAGCAUUAGAGUAGAAACAAAUAUGAACACAACUAAGCUGAACCAAAAUUGAUGAAAGCUUAACACUAUGCAAAAUUUCCAAAACAGAUGAACCUAACGAUUCUAACUCAGCUUUUAAUAGUGAUUGAGUACCUAAACGUACCAACGCAUGGAACCAACACUGGUCUAUAUCAUGUGUAAUUCAAAUCCCCAUCUUAAAAUAGAUCUUCCAAUGCUUGGAUUCACAAUAGUAACAGCAAAUAAACAAAAGAAUAGAGAGAUGAACCUGAGAAAUGUGAAUUUCUUCUUAAUAGUAGAAAGUAGAAAUUCGGCUACAAAGCUUUGAAUCGAAAAUCCCAGUGAAAAGAAAACAACGACAAAUGUCAAAUAGGAAUCGCGAACCCAGACCGGAAAACUCGAACGGCAAUCGACCGCAGUGGAAAAUUCGAAACAACCUUGGCUCAAUCAGAUUCCAUAUUUGAAACCCAAAUCAAAUAAGAAAAAGUAGCUCAAAUAUUUUUGUGUAUUUUCUGAUUUUUUUCAAAAUGGAAACAAAACUCGAACAAGAAUCUAAACUCAAAAUACUUUUUUUUAUAUUUUCAUUUUUCUGAAAUUCAAACUAAACUUAGAAAAAUCUGAAAAUUGAAAAAAAAAUCUAAAACUUUUCUUCUCCCUUCUCCCUUUUUUCCCAAGUAUUCUAUGCAAAAUCCCCCGAAAAAUUCCAAAAAUGAGAAUAUUUAUAAGAACUCUCGAAGUUUAUAUUCUUCUCCUCCCAGAAAUCCAAAACUUUUUUUCAAAAAUCCGAAAACUCCCCACAAAAACGAAAUUUACUCUUCUAGACCAAAUCUAGACAAAUGGAAGGGUAGGAUUUAAGGCACCCAAAUCUUACGUCUCCCAUUGAUCCAAAAUCCGUCCAAGGGAAAUCUAAAAUGCAUGCGGUGAGGUUGAAGAAGAUUCGAUUGUCAGAAGUUUGUUAGGCUACAUGGCAGAAAGAGAUGAGGGGGACUACGUGGGGGAGUGGGCUUGAUUUUUUGGCGGGUUUGGUGCAGAUUAGCGGGUCUGGCGGCGGCAAGAGGAUGGAGAAAGGGGUGGCACGGCUAGGUUAAGGUCUAGGGUUUGUGGAAGAUAUAAAUUUUAUAUGGUUAGGGGAUUUAAU
Molecule: long non-coding RNA, 12884 nt
Filed under: Nicotiana tabacum (common tobacco)
Lineage: Eukaryota; Viridiplantae; Streptophyta; Magnoliopsida; Solanales; Solanaceae
Description: long non-coding RNA (NTAB_LNC009330)
Source: RNAcentral